Alligator sinensis (Chinese alligator) is the source of this 3238-nucleotide long non-coding RNA. RefSeq lists it as uncharacterized. The record is from RefSeq and is a predicted model, not a curated record. The transcript has 2 exons. NCBI's taxonomy places the organism in Eukaryota, Metazoa, Chordata, Crocodylia, Alligatoridae.
GGAACACGGGUCUUAUCUGCACCACAGCAUUCAAGUAAGACCCUCGCUCUUAGGACAGAGUCCUCAUUGAGCCGAUAAGGAGGGAUCAGUUGUAUUGACACGCGGGAGGCCGCGUGAUUCGAACCCCGCUCCGGCAGCCGUGGUGGUAUAGCGGUAGUGCCCCGCGCUUGCCUCGCAGGGCUCUGAUAACUGGAAUUUCCGGGCCAUCGGUACACCCAUCUUAACCCCUCGCUUUCUUUCCCACAGGCUGCUCCUUGGGCAGGAGUCAGCACAUCCUGCCCACGCUGCUCCCGUUCACCCACGCGAGGCCCGAACAGGGCUGUUUCCCAGGCACGGCAAACACUUCAUAAAUCUCUCGCUCUUGUCUCCCUUUCAAACAGUGCCAGCACUGCAAGUGGGUGCAGCUGGCAUGCGCACCCAGCUACGCCUUGUGCUGGGUGCCAGCUUUCUGGGCACGAACACGCCUUCUGGAAUGAGCUCGCUUGUCUCUUUGCAGAAGGGCACGGGGACCGUGAGGCCUGAGCCCGGGCUCUGGCUAGCAAGCAAAGCCCUUGGUGAACCAAUCUGUGUCCCACUCUUGGAUUCGUGACCGUACAGCACUUUCUACCCAUGGUCUCAAAAGGGCAUUGCAAGAAACAAAGCAUAGUCGGGCCCAUUUUGCAAGCGGGAACACACAAGGUGCAGCCAGCGGAAGUGAUUUGACCAAUGACGUGCGGUGAGUCAGUGGCGGAGUCAGGGUUAGAGUGCAGCAGCUGGGCAUCCUGGUGAGACGGAGUGGGCAACCGUGCCCAUGGUCUCUGCCCUGAGGGGUUUGCACACUGGGCAUUAGACCUCACGCAUAAAGGUAUAAUCGGCAAGCAGUCUUGUGGAUAUGAGAAACCCCAAUCGAAACCAGGUCCCCAGUGAUUAGUUAUCUAGAGGGAGAUGAGGCUGGACGAGUAGGGAGGAGCAGCAAGAGAAAGAAAUAAACAGCUAGGAGGCGAAGAGGCCCAAGGAACAGCACGGCGAUAAGAUCAUGCGUUUACUCUGUGUAGGCACCAUCCUCACUUCUUCCAGGUACUGUAGUGAGAGGGUGACGGUUGGCAAAGGAAGCCAGGAAACGGGGCUUUUCAACAGGAAGAAAUGGAACAAUUUAAUGUUCUUGUCCUUUGGGGUUUUUUUGAAGGGCUGGUUGCAAACCCAAAUGGUUGGAAAAUGUCUCGCUUGCAAAAUGGUAUCCAGCAAGGUGGAUGAGGGGCUCCUGCAGUUAGGCGACUUGGCACCCAAAAGCUCGUCUCCCUCCCAGUGAAAGAUGAAUGACACCCACAAGGAUCCAUGCCUCUCGCCUGCAGGGAGGUGACCGUUUUCAGGGACACUGUUUUCAGCCCCCAAAAAAGAGCUGACGUUCUUCAAUUUGCCAUUGCUGGAAACUGCUGGUGUGUCAGCAUUGGGGGUUCAGUGGAAACCUCCCCCCCCCGAAAAAAAACCAUGCACUUCCCACAGAAAUGUCAGCAUGGAAACACUUUUUUCCUGUUUUUUGGUUUUCUCAAAAGCCAAGGUUAUAACAUAAAUUUUUCCCAGCGCUAUUGGUAGGAUGGAUCUGCAUGCGGAGAAAGAGGUGACUUAGAAAACAGGAAUCUGGGGGCAGCUCCCAAUGGACAGGGGCAGGGAGCUUGGGGAAAACCAUGCAGGCAUUGAAGGGCGUUUCAGAAGGCCCAUCCGUUGCUGCGUGGUAGAUCUAGCACUCAUCAGCAAUGGUGCCCAGCAAAUAUGUGACGGUAACAACUCUGAGGUUAGAAAUAAGGGAAAGGGUGGGGGACAAAGACGAAGCUUUAUUAGGAAGAGCACAGGCGGCUUCAGCAACUUGGCACCUACAACGUAAAGAGACACUUCAGGUGUGAUGUCUCUGGGCUGGUUUUGCUUUAUUUGCUGCUCACGCGGGCAUAAAGACGCACUCCUGCAUGUAGCAGCUUACACGUGUCGGGGCCCUGACACGUUCCCUGCACAUUGCUGCUAGCUGUUGCGAUCGCAGCCUCUCCGCAUCACUACGCGAGAGUUUGGGACAGAAAGUGAGGACUGUGAUGUCAAAGGAGCGAGGCAAUCAUGGCACGAACUUCCCAUGUCGAGAACGGGUCCGGCACAGCUCACCCAGGUACCGACUACAUCGUGAUGUUUUGGUGGUAGCCCAAUGACCAGGGUGCAACCGGAGGCCAAGGCUGGGAGUCUGAUUUUUUGCUUAAUUAAUUCAAAGGAAGUGGCUCUUCCUUAACAGCAACCUGGCAGCCCAUUGCACAACUGCUUGUUUUAACCCUUCAGGGAGUGGGAAGAUCUUAGAGGACUUUCCUGGUGUCUAUCAGCCCCAUAAGCAUGAGUCCCGGGUGAGAAGGGAGCAGCAACACCCCCUGAAGACAGCACAGAUUGCCACCACUAAAGGAAAUGUUUGGGAAGUCUGAACUUCCUGCUUUCUUUUUUUGAAGCAUUAUAAAAAGAAAUAUGAAGAGAAAAACUCCUUCUGUAAAUCCGCAAGCUCAGCUUUUUUUUUUUUUGGCUCUAAGUUUUAUCAGGGGCCCCAACAAUGCCAGGCCCUGAGAACUAUUCAUUAAUGCUUAUAAGGUGCAGAGAUCAACCAGCGAGGAGUGCCACAAGAAGGAGCUUGAAUAAAUAAAAUAAUGUACCCAGCCCGUGGGAUAAUACAUGCUCCUGCAGCUGAGCAGGUGCACAAGUCUUUACAGGUUCAGGGCCCUGAAUGCACUGCAAAAAUGUUUGCAAAGCAGCUCAUUUACUGUCAGGCCAGAUGUUCUUCUUUGCUCUCAAGUGCAGCAACGGUGGAAGAUGCUGGCUGCAGCAUAAUCAGGAAUUAGCACAGGUGAUCUCCAGGCUGCUACCUGAUCCCAUGGAAAGCCAGGAAGGCAAAUGCUACAGUGAUGAAUACUAGCCUGUACCCUAAGUAAAGAGCUAGAGGGAGACAAAAAACACGCGGCACUGAGUUCAAAUUCAAUUAGAAAAGAGAGUGCAGGUGCUGUCUUCCCAGCUCAGACCCAAUCUGGGAUAUCCUCACACAGUCUCUGAAGAGCUCAGUGCAUACUUUCUUCAUUGUUUUGCCCAACUGCAGCACCGAAGGAACGCCAAGGGCAUCGUACCGGCUGGAAACAGCACAUGCACACAGUUCCACCCUCCUGCAAAAAAAAAAAAUCCUUUGAAUGAAGCUAAAUGUUUGGUGAACUCCCAUUAAAAAUACUCCUGAGGAAAUAGGGGGCAA